GACGAACGCUGGCGGCGUGCUUAACACAUGCAAGUCGAACGGAAAGGCCCUUCGGGGUACUCGAGUGGCGAACGGGUGAGUAACACGUGGGUGAUCUGCCCUGCACUUUGGGAUAAGCCUGGGAAACUGGGUCUAAUACCGAAUAGGACCACGCGCUUCAUGGUGUGUGGUGGAAAGCUUUUGCGGUGUGGGAUGGGCCCGCGGCCUAUCAGCUUGUUGGUGGGGUAAUGGCCUACCAAGGCGACGACGGGUAGCCGGCCUGAGAGGGUGACCGGCCACACGGGGACUGAGAUACGGCCCAGACUCCUACGGGAGGCAGCAGUGGGGAAUAUUGCGCAAGGGGCGCAAGCCUGAUGCAGCGACGCCGCGUGAGGGAUGACGGCCUUCGGGUUGUAAACCUCUUUCAAUAGGGACGAAGCGCAAGUGACGGUACCUAUAGAAGAAGCACCGGCCAACUACG
Molecule: ribosomal RNA, 460 nt
Filed under: uncultured bacterium
Lineage: Bacteria
Description: partial 16S ribosomal RNA
Rfam family: Bacterial small subunit ribosomal RNA
Source: RNAcentral